Molecule: unclassified non-coding RNA, 493 nt
Filed under: Dothideomycetes sp. Iso321
Lineage: Eukaryota; Fungi; Ascomycota; Dothideomycetes
Description: sequence contains ITS1, 5.8S rRNA gene, ITS2
Rfam family: 5.8S ribosomal RNA (bases 182-335)
Source: RNAcentral
AGCUGCUACUGUCGGGAGGUGCUGUAAGUCCGCAUAGUUUAAUUACUGAUGAGCGGCAGGCCCUCUGUCUGGACCCUUGUCUUUUGCGCACUCAUGUUUCCUCGGUGGGCUUGCCCGCCGAUUGGACAAAACUAUAACCUUUUUAAUUUUCAAUCAGCGUCUGAAAAAACUUAAUAAUUACAACUUUCAACAACGGAUCUCUUGGUUCUGGCAUCGAUGAAGAACGCAGCGAAAUGCGAUAAGUAGUGUGAAUUGCAGAAUUCAGUGAAUCAUCGAAUCUUUGAACGCACAUUGCGCCCCUUGGUAUUCCAUGGGGCAUGCCUGUUCGAGCGUCAUUUGUACCCUCAAGCUCUGCUUGGUGUUGGGUGUUUGUCCUCUCCUUUGCGUUUGGACUCGCCUUAAAGCAAUUGGCAGCCAGUGUUUUGGUAUUGAAGCGCAGCACAUUUUGCGAUUCUAGCCGAUAAUACUUGCGUCCAUAAGCCUUUUUUAACUU